CUCUGGCACCAUAGCAGUUUGAGGGCACCCCAGCCCAGAAGCUAAGCAGGGUCAGACUUGCCUGGAGCUUGGAUGGGGGGGCCACCUGGGAACAACAAGGGGUGGAGG
This 108-nucleotide ribosomal RNA is filed under the name Cebus imitator (Panamanian white-faced capuchin). Lineage: Eukaryota; Metazoa; Chordata; Mammalia; Primates; Cebidae. The record is from RNAcentral.